This 877-nucleotide ribosomal RNA is filed under the name Epitrimerus sabinae. RNAcentral describes it as "partial large subunit ribosomal RNA". It matches the Rfam family "Eukaryotic large subunit ribosomal RNA", at positions 366 to 944 of the family's 3401-position model. Lineage: Eukaryota; Metazoa; Arthropoda; Arachnida; Trombidiformes; Eriophyidae. The record is from RNAcentral.
AAAUAGAACUUUGCAGAGAGAGUUAACAGGGCGUGAAACCGUUAAUUGGCAAACGAAUCGGAGCCACGAAGUCGUUUCGUUGAUAAGUUGGGCCGAGUUCAGUUUAGCUGCUAACAGCUGAAUGUAUUCUCGUUUGUCCAGCCAAAAAUCAUUGUAAGCGUACACUGCAACCAGUUAGACAAUUGGCGAUGGGCCAAGUUGCUCAAGUUAGUAGUAGCGUGGGUUAGCUUCGGUUAAUUUUGUGUUGCUGGGCUUGAGUGCGUGAACUAUCACCAAAUACUGACUGGCAAAAUGAAAAUCGCUCAUUGAGCGUAAUAUAAAAUGCAGCAGUUAGCAUAGGCGUCUACACACUUGACCGUAGGGUUUAAGCUCAGCAUUUUUGAAUUUGGACUUGCUAGCUACCAAUGGGGCAACUCUUGGUGCUAGUAUAGCUUUCAUCUAAUCGGGUGUUGACUUGAUUUUACGUCGUUCGGGUGUGCUACGUUAGGGCGUUUAUGUUAGAUUGUUCGCAAUUUAAUUGGCAGUGAGUAGGUCGGCUUUCCGAACGACCCGUCUUGAAACACGGACCAAGGAGUCUAAUUAGGCAUCGAGUCGAUCGGUCUUGAAUAGGCCAGAGUGGGUAGUUUUAUCCGAUUGAAGGCGUAGAGACAUGUGAUCAUUGGGGCAACAACAGCCUCGAUGCGCAACAUGUGCCUGCUCGUAUAGCAAUGUAGCAAUAAUUGCUGGCGGAGCAAAGAGAUGCUUGAUUGGUACCCGAAAGAUGGUGAGCCUGGGCAAAUUGAAGCCAGAGGAAACUCUGGUGGAGGAUUGUAGCGAUUCUGACGUGCAAAUCGAUCGUCAGACCUGGGUAUAGGGGCGAAAGACUAAUCGAACCAUC